RNAcentral lists this ribosomal RNA (496 nucleotides) under uncultured bacterium. Its description in RNAcentral is "partial 16S ribosomal RNA". It matches the Rfam family "Bacterial small subunit ribosomal RNA", at positions 29 to 507 of the family's 1533-position model. The record is from RNAcentral.
AUGAACGCUGGCGGCGUGCCUAAUACAUGCAAGUCGAGCGAACAGACGAGGAGCUUGCUCCUCUGACGUUAGCGGCGGACGGGUGAGUAACACGUGGAUAACCUACCUAUAAGACUGGGAUAACUUCGGGAAACCGGAGCUAAUACCGGAUAAUAUAUUGAACCGCAUGGUUCAAUAGUGAAAGACGGUUUUGCUGUCACUUAUAGAUGGAUCCGCGCCGCAUUAGCUAGUUGGUAAGGUAACGGCUUACCAAGGCGACGAUGCGUAGCCGACCUGAGAGGGUGAUCGGCCACACUGGAACUGAGAUACGGUCCAGACUCCUACGGGAGGCAGCAGUAGGGAAUCUUCCGCAAUGGGCGAAAGCCUGACGGAGCAACGCCGCGUGAGUGAUGAAGGUCUUCGGAUCGUAAAACUCUGUUAUUAGGGAAGAACAAAUGUGUAAGUAACUAUGCACGUCUUGACGGUACCUAAUCAGAAAGCCACGGCUAACUACGUG